UCCAUCUACAAUUGGACCGGUCUUCAUCGGCUGGCAAACUUCCACAUCUGAGAUUAUUUCUUUCCUAUAAUCUUCCCGUUUGUCGAACUUCAAAUUUUUAAUUUCGUGGUUUUUUUGCAGGUUUCAGGUUUUGUUUUUGGCUUUAAAAACUUUGAAAGAAUCAGGUCAUGAACAUGUCUAUAAUGCCGUCGAAAACCCUCUCCUUCUAGCUCAAUCCGCCGCCGUUUUGGAGAUUCUUCACGGUUUAAAGGUCUGGUUAGGUCACCAGUGUCAUCAACUCUGCCAGAUUGGAUCAAGAUUAUAUUUAACUUGGGGAAUUU
This is a long non-coding RNA of Hibiscus syriacus, 320 nucleotides long. RefSeq lists it as uncharacterized. The transcript has 3 exons. The record is from RefSeq and is a predicted model, not a curated record. Lineage: Eukaryota; Viridiplantae; Streptophyta; Magnoliopsida; Malvales; Malvaceae.